This 762-nucleotide ribosomal RNA is filed under the name uncultured crenarchaeote. RNAcentral's name for it is "bacterial SSU rRNA". It matches the Rfam family "Archaeal small subunit ribosomal RNA", at positions 521 to 1290 of the family's 1478-position model. Lineage: Archaea; Thermoproteati; Thermoproteota. The record is from RNAcentral.
GUAGCUGGCUGGACAAGUCCCCUGUUAAAACCAGCGAUCUAAUCGUUGGAUUGCGGGGGAUACUGCCCGGCUAGGGGGCGGGAGAGGCCGACGGUAUUCCCGGGGUAGGGGUGAAAUCUUAUAAUCCCGGGAGGACCACCAGUGGCGAAGGCUGUCGGCUGGAACGCGCCCGACGGUGAGGGAUGAAAGCUGGGGGAGCGAACCGGAUUAGAUACCCGGGUAGUCCCAGCUGUAAACGAUGCAGGCUAGGUGUCAGUGCGGCUACGUGCCGCUCUGGUGCCGCAGGAAAGCUGUUAAGCCUGCCGCCUGGGGAGUACGGCCGCAAGGCUGAAACUUAAAGGAAUUGGCGGGGGAGCACCACAAGGGGUGAAGCUUGCGGUUUAAUUGGAGUCAACGCCGGAAACCUUACCGGGAGCGACAGCAGAAUGAAGGCCAGACUGAAGGUCUUGCUAGACAAGCUGAGAGGAGGUGCAUGGCCGUCGCCAGUUCGUGCCGUGAGGUGUCCUGUUAAGUCAGGCAACGAUCGAGACCCGCGUCCCCCGUUGCAAUUGGCCUUGAGCCAAGCACACUGGGGAGACCGCCGCUGAUAAAGCGGAGGAAGGAGCGGGCCACGGCAGGUCAGUAUGCCCCGAAUCUCCCGGGCCACACGCGAGCUGCAAUGGCAGGUACAAUGGGUUCCGACCUCGAAAGGGGAAGGCAAUCUCGAAAGCCUGCCGUAGUUGGGAUCGAGGGUUGUAACUCACCCUCGUGAACAUGGAAUCC